GGGAAGGUAGCUCAGUGGUAGAGUGCUUGCCUUCCAUGCAUGAAGCCCUGGGUUCGAUUGCUCAGCACCA
Dipodomys ordii (Ord's kangaroo rat) is the source of this 70-nucleotide non-coding RNA. The record is from Rfam. Lineage: Eukaryota; Metazoa; Chordata; Mammalia; Rodentia; Heteromyidae.